CCGCUAGAGUUUGAUNAUGGCUCAGGAUGAACGCUAGCGGGAGGCCUAACACAUGCAAGCCGAGCGGUAGAGAUCUUUCGGGAUCUUGAGAGCGGCGUACGGGUGCGGAACACGUGUGCAACCUGCCUUUAUCUGGGGGAUAGCCUUUCGAAAGGAAGAUUAAUACCCCAUAAUAUUUUGAAUGGCAUCAUUUGAAAUUGAAAACUCCGGUGGAUAGAGAUGGGCACGCGCAAGAUUAGAUAGUUGGUGAGGUAACGGCUCACCAAGUCUGCGAUCUUUAGGGGGCCUGAGAGGGUGAUCCCCCACACUGGUACUGAGACACGGACCAGACUCCUACGGGAGGCAGCAGUGAGGAAUAUUGGACAAUGGGUGAGAGCCUGAUCCAGCCAUCCCGCGUGAAGGACGACGGCCCUAUGGGUUGUAAACUUCUUUUGUAUAGGGAUAAACCCUUUCCACGUGUGGGAAGCUGAAGGUACUAUACGAAUAAGCACCGGCUAACUCCGUGCCAGCA
RNAcentral lists this ribosomal RNA (511 nucleotides) under Chryseobacterium sp. Its description in RNAcentral is "bacterial SSU rRNA". It matches the Rfam family "Bacterial small subunit ribosomal RNA", at positions 1 to 513 of the family's 1533-position model. Lineage: Bacteria; Pseudomonadati; Bacteroidota; Flavobacteriia; Flavobacteriales; Weeksellaceae. The record is from RNAcentral.